Molecule: ribosomal RNA, 352 nt
Filed under: uncultured bacterium
Lineage: Bacteria
Description: bacterial SSU rRNA
Rfam family: Bacterial small subunit ribosomal RNA
Source: RNAcentral
GGUUUGAUCCUGGCUCAGAUUGAACGCUGGCGGCAUGCCUUACACAUGCAAGUCGAACGGCAGCGCGGGAGCAAUCCUGGCGGCGAGUGGCGAACGGGUGAGUAAUACAUCGGAACGUGCCCAAUCGUGGGGGAUAACGCAGCGAAAGCUGUGCUAAUACCGCAUAAGAUCUACGGAUGAAAGCAGGGGAUCGCAAGACCUUGCGCGAAUGGAGCGGCCGAUGGCAGAUUAGGUAGUUGGUGAGGUAAAGGCUCACCAAGCCUUCGAUCUGUAGCUGGUCUGAGAGGACGACCAGCCACACUGGGACUGAGACACGGCCCAGACUCCUACGGGAGGCAGCAGUGGGGAAUUA